AUGCAGUCGAAGGGGAACGACGGCGGGGUUUCCGGCCUUGCUGGGCGUCGACCGGCGAAUGGGUGAGUAACGCGUAUCCAACCUGCCCUUGUCCCGGGAACAGCCCUUGGAAACGAGGAUUAACGCCCGAUUCGCGUUUUAGCCGCAUGGCAUAGACGUAAAAUGAGAAGGACAAGGAUGGGGAUGCGUCUGAUUAGCUAGCUGGCGGGGUAACGGCCCACCAGGGCAUCGAUCAGUAGGGGUUCUGAGAGGAAGGUCCCCCACACUGGAACUGAGACACGGUCCAGACUCCUACGGGAGGCAGCAGUGAGGAAUAUUGGUCAAUGGCCGCGAGGCUGAACCAGCCAAGUAGCGUGAGGGAUGACGGCCCUAUGGGUUGUAAACCUCUUUUAUGCGGGGAUAAAAAGUGCCACGUGUGGCAUGUUGCAGGUACCGCAUGAAUAAGGACCGGCUAAUUCCGUGCCAGCAGCCGCGGUAAUACGGAAGGUCCGGGCGUUAUCCGGAUUUAUUGGGUUUAAAGGGAGCGCAGGCGGAGCGCCAAGUCAGCCGUCAAAUGGCUCAGCUCAACUGAGUCCUGCGGUUGAAACUGGUGCCCUUGGGUGCACAAGAGGCAGGCGGAACUCGUGGUGUAGCGGUGAAAUGCAUAGAUAUCACGAAGAACUCCGAUUGCGAAGGCAGCUUGCUGGGGUGUUACCGACGCUCAUGCUCGAAGGCGCGGGUAUCAAACAGGAUUAGAUACCCUGGUAGUCCGCGCAGUAAACGAUGGAUGCCCGCGGUGCGGCCUAUAUGGUUACGCCGCCAAGCGAAAGCGUUAAGCAUCCCACCUGGGGAGUACGCCGGCAACGGUGAAACUCAAAGGAAUUGACGGGGGCCCGCACAAGCGGAGGAACAUGUGGUUUAAUUCGAUGAUACGCGAGGAACCUUACCCGGGCUUGAAAGGUGGUGGACGGCAGGCAGAGAGGCCUGCUUAUCGUGCC
Molecule: ribosomal RNA, 977 nt
Filed under: uncultured bacterium
Lineage: Bacteria
Description: bacterial SSU rRNA
Rfam family: Bacterial small subunit ribosomal RNA
Source: RNAcentral